UUGCCUAUGAUGGUUAAGAAUUUCUUCACCUGAAUGAAUCAUGUGGUCAUGUUAUAUCUGAGGCAAA
Ictidomys tridecemlineatus (thirteen-lined ground squirrel) is the source of this 67-nucleotide small nucleolar RNA. NCBI's taxonomy places the organism in Eukaryota, Metazoa, Chordata, Mammalia, Rodentia, Sciuridae. The record is from Ensembl.